This 253-nucleotide ribosomal RNA is filed under the name uncultured bacterium. Its description in RNAcentral is "partial 16S ribosomal RNA". It matches the Rfam family "Bacterial small subunit ribosomal RNA", at positions 524 to 776 of the family's 1533-position model. The record is from RNAcentral.
UACGUAGGUGGCAAGCGUUAUCCGGAAUUACUGGGCGUAAAGCGCACGCAGGCGGUCUUGUAAGUUUGACGUGAAAGCUCCCGGCUUAACUGGGAGAGGUCGUUGAAGACUGCAAGACUUGAGGAAAUGAGAGGGGUGUAGAAUUCCCGGUGUAGUGGUGGAAUGCGUAGAUAUCGGGGGGAACACCAAUGGCGAAGGCAGCUCGCUGGGACGUUACUGACGCUGAGACGCGAAAGCGUGGGGAGCAAACAGG